Caenorhabditis elegans is the source of this 191-nucleotide non-coding RNA. NCBI's taxonomy places the organism in Eukaryota, Metazoa, Nematoda, Chromadorea, Rhabditida, Rhabditidae. The record is from Ensembl.
GCGGCGGCCGACUCUCCACCUGCUCCUGAGUAGGUUUGAGCUGGUUCCGGAGCUGGUGGUGGGGCAGCUGGAGCGGUUUCACCACCUCCAGAGUAGUUGCUGCCUCCAGCAGCUGAUCCAGCGUCACCUCCUCCUCCAGAAUAGCCUCCAGAAGACGGAGCUGGCUCUGGAGCGGCAGGUGCUGAGGAUUC